Fukomys damarensis (Damara mole-rat) is the source of this 124-nucleotide small nucleolar RNA. Lineage: Eukaryota; Metazoa; Chordata; Mammalia; Rodentia; Bathyergidae. The record is from Ensembl.
UGGCACUAUUCGUAACCUUUUGCUUGGUUGUAGCUAGUAGGUUCCAUUCUAGUGCCACAGCAUUUCCAAUGAUGAAUGACUGACUGACAUUAGUGUCUUUCAGUUUCAGGAAUUGGAGACAGAU